This is a small nuclear RNA of Chlorocebus sabaeus (green monkey), 110 nucleotides long. The record is from RefSeq and is a predicted model, not a curated record. NCBI's taxonomy places the organism in Eukaryota, Metazoa, Chordata, Mammalia, Primates, Cercopithecidae.
GUGCUUUGGUUUCGGCAGCACGUUUACUAAAAUUGAAUGAUAUAGAGAGAUUAGCAUGGCUCCCUGCACAAGGAGACGUGCACAUCCACAUAGAAGUGUUCCACAGUUAA